This 351-nucleotide long non-coding RNA is filed under the name Gossypium raimondii (Peruvian cotton). Its description in RNAcentral is "long non-coding RNA (GRAI_LNC008821)". Lineage: Eukaryota; Viridiplantae; Streptophyta; Magnoliopsida; Malvales; Malvaceae. The record is from RNAcentral.
CCGAAAAUGAAGCAUCUGACUCAUCAUCACAGUUCAUAGAUCCGGAUCCAGUGCAUGAAGUUCCUCCAUCAUUUGAAGAUUUUUUUGGUGACAACCUCCACCGUCAACAUCCGACACGAUCCGGAUCGUCAUCCUCAUACCACCCGGACUUCCACCCCGAAGCACGUACACCCACCACUGAGGAUAUUUUUCCAUCGGCACCUCCGGUCACGCAAUACCAAUUAAGUCCCGAUUAUGGUGAAUAUAAUUAUUCCACCUUUUUAACUACACCGGAAGGGACACAAGACUCUGGACCGAGCAAUUAUCAAACGCCUUAGCAAGGUGCACGGCAUCGCCGACGGAGGCAUCCGG